CCGGACAUCGCUCUCCUCGUUGGGGCAGGUUAUUUUACACCCAGGUCGCACCUUUGAGAGAAUUAUAUAAGCUAAAACACGGAUAUCCUCAUCUUUAGCAGCUUCACUCUUCUCUCCUCCUUCCUGACCGUCAUGCUCCUCUGCAGUGGGCUCAAUACUACCUUCCUGAACUGGUGCAGGCACUGACUCAACAUCAAACAUCACCUGAUCCUCCUCUCCCCCAGUCCCCUCAUCACAC
Plectropomus leopardus (leopard coralgrouper) is the source of this 238-nucleotide non-coding RNA. The record is from RefSeq and is a predicted model, not a curated record. Lineage: Eukaryota; Metazoa; Chordata; Actinopteri; Perciformes; Serranidae.